GGAAGGAAACUGACAAAGCUUGUGAAAUCCCAAACCGGAUUGAUGUGCUGUGACCCCUGUAGCAUUCGGGCUGUCAAGAUUAAAGGAGCCUCCACUCUGUUUCGAAACUGCAACUCUUGUCCCCCAGACCUCAUCAACCCCACCUCUUGUUUUUGUUUUUGUUUUGUGUUUUUGGCCACAAGUCAACCACUCAUCAUAAGGUGGGCAAACCCCUCGGUCCACAUUUAAAUUUGUUUGUGUGACAAAUUGUCCUGCCGUUCCACCCUCUUAGCUACUGUAACCAGCAC
This 287-nucleotide long non-coding RNA is filed under the name Homo sapiens (human). Its description in RNAcentral is "non-protein coding lnc-ASPH-6:1". Lineage: Eukaryota; Metazoa; Chordata; Mammalia; Primates; Hominidae. The record is from RNAcentral.